CAGAUAGUAGUUUAAUUAAAAUACCGACUUUGGGUGUCAACGAUCACCUAGUGUGCUAUCUGA
RNAcentral lists this transfer RNA (63 nucleotides) under Perionyx excavatus (compost worm). RNAcentral describes it as "tRNA-Pro". The record is from RNAcentral. Lineage: Eukaryota; Metazoa; Annelida; Clitellata; Crassiclitellata; Megascolecidae.